Dunckerocampus dactyliophorus (ringed pipefish) is the source of this 5679-nucleotide long non-coding RNA. RefSeq lists it as uncharacterized. The transcript has 3 exons. Lineage: Eukaryota; Metazoa; Chordata; Actinopteri; Syngnathiformes; Syngnathidae. The record is from RefSeq and is a predicted model, not a curated record.
AGCCUGACAAUUACCCAUAUAGCUGGGUCAGCAGGCUUAGUCUUUUGUGAUCGUUGGGAUCUCGUAACAGGUCUCCUGCUGAGUCUUAUCUCAUCUGAAGGAUUUGACAUCCUUACCAUAUAACCGAUGGGCAAUAAAUGAUCUCGAUGGAGAGUUUUGAUGACCUUCAAUCCAUGUUCUGGUUUGACUUUGUACACUGGCAGGUUAGGAAACUUUUCCACAACUACAUAAGGUGUUGAAUUCCAUCUAUCUUGUAGUUUAUGUUUGCCUUUUAGUCCAACAUUUCGGAUGAGGAUUCUGUCUCCCUUUUCUAAAGGUAAGUCUCUCACACGGUUGUCAUAGUGUGCUUUGUUUUUCAGGUGACUUUUGGUGGCGGCGUCACCUGCGAGUUGGUAUGCGUUCUGCAGCUCUUUUCUCAUCCUGUCUACAUACUGUUGGUAUGAGGUCUCACUUUCACCAUUUGGCGAAAUGCCAAAGCAGAUAUCAAUGGGUAACCUUGCUUCUCUUCCAAACAUGAGAUAGUAAGGUGAAUAUCCUGUGGAGUCAUUUCUCGUGCAAUUGUAUGCAUGUACCAGAUAAGUGAUAUACUGGCUCCAACACUGUUUCUUCAAGGUGUCCAAAGUACCUAGCAUUGCCAGAAGAGUUCUGUUAAAUCUUUCAGGUUGUGCAUCACCUUGGGGGUGGUAAGGGGAUGUGCGUGACUUCCGGACUCCCAGCAUGGACAAGAGCUCCUUGAUCAAACGACUCUCAAAAUCUCGGCCUUGAUCCGAGUGUAUCCGUGCAGGUAAGCCGUAGUGCACAAAAUACUUGUCCCACAGCACUUUUGCAACGGUGAUGGCUCUUUGAUCCUUGGUGGCAAAAGCCUGCGCAUAACGUGUGUAGUGAUCUGUCACAACCAACACGUUAGCAAUACCCUUUGAAUCAGGUUCGAUCUGCAAAAAGGUCGAUGCAGACUAGAUCUAAGGGGCCAUUACUUGUUAUUUGGUUCAAGGGCGAGGCACGUUGAGGGAGUGUCUUUCGUGAAAUACAUCUUCCACAGGUUUGGAUGUACUGCUCGACCUCAAUAGUCAUCCUCGGCCAAUAGAAUCGGUCCUUGAUCAACUCAGUAGUACGUUCCAUUCCCAUGUGUCCCGACUCGUCGUGUAACGAUCUUAACACCAUGGAACGAUACCUUGUGGGCAAAACAAGUUGUCGGAUCUGUUUACCACACAAUUUCUCUUUGACUCGAUAGAGUACUUGAUCCUUUAACUCCAACCUUCGACUUUCACGGAGGAGUAACAUGGUCUCUGGGGAAUUUGUUUUGGAAUGAGUCAGCUUUUUGUUGUUCUCCAUAGCUGUCUUCAAUGGUCCAAUUGAUGGGUCCAUGUCUUGUGCUAUCUGUAUAUCUUUCAAGCUUAACUGUUCAAGUGUGUUGAUGCUCAGGUUCACAGGGAACGCAUAAGCUUCUGGGACUGCUGCGGCUGGGGCACCUAACUGAUCCACCAACCUCUCAGGUACCAUGGCUUCAUCACUCAUGCAGGCUCGUUUGCAGAGAGCUUUGAUACCAGCAGGCGGAACACUAGUCCACUCUUUGAUUUCCUCUGAUCCAUACUGUCGAGACAGCAAGUCAGCAUUGAUAUUGUGCCUACCAGGACGAUACUGAAUGGUGAAGUCAUAGGUGGCAAGGGCUGCAAGCCAGCGAUGUCCUACUGCACUGAGUUUAGCAGUUGUCAACACAUAAGUUAAUGGGUUGUUGUCUGUUCUUACAAUAAACUUAGCUCCAUACAAAUAAUCGUGAAAUUUAUCCACGACAGCCCACUUUAGUGCUAGAAAUUCUAGUUGAUGAACUGGAUAGUUAUGUUCUGAAUCUUUAAGCUUACGACUCGCAAAAGCUACUGGCCUAAGGCCCUCAGGAUAUUCUUGAUUCAGAACUGCACCUAGGCCAUUCAUACUGGCAUCCACAUGCAAGAUGUAAUGCUUUGUGGGGUCAGCAAAUGCCAAAACUGGGGCAUGAAUCAAGCAAUCACGGAUUUGCUCAAAAGCAUCUUGACAGGCUUGAGUCCAACGUUCUCCAAAAGGCUCUGAUGGUUUGAAAUAUGCUUUGUUGGAGUCUACUUUCUUCUUGAAUUGGGGGUCUCGCCAUGUUGGUGCGUAACCCCUAGUGAGCUCGGAAAGAGAGCGAACAAUAGAGGAGUAGUUUGCGAUAAACCUCCGAUAGUAACUGCAAAAUCCGAGAAAGGACUUGAGUUGUUUCAGAUUUGUGGGUUCUUUCCAAUGUCUUACAACUGCUACCUUUUCUGGAUCAGUGGCUAUUCCAUUGGCAGAAACAAUGUGACCCACAUACUUAACUUGAGGUUGACAAAACUGACAUUUGUCAAUAGAGACCUUCAGUCCAAUCUCCUGGAGUCUGUCCAGUACUUUGAGAAGGCGUCACUCGUGUUCUUCAAGCGUUUUGCCAAAAAUGAUGAUGUCAUCCAAAUACACAAGGGCUUCUAGGAGAUGCAAGUCUCCCACCGCUUUUUCCAUUAGGCGUUGGAAGGUUGCAGGUGCUCCUGUGAUUCCCUGUGGCAUCCGUUCAAAUUGAUAGAAACCGAGUGGACAAAUGAACGCUGUCUUUUCUUUGUCUUCCUCAGUCAUCUGAAUUUGGUAGUAUCCACUACGCAGAUCCAACACUGAAAACCAUUGGCUUCCUGACAAGGAGUCCAGUGCGUCAUCAAUGCGGGGCAUUGUGUACUGGUCUGGUGUUGUGCGGUUAUUCAGUGUUCUGUAGUCAAUACAGAUUCUUACUGUCCCAUUCUUUUUGCGGACUACAACGAUGGGUGAGGCAUAAGGGCUGCGGGACUCUGUGAUAAUUCCAGCGGCUAGCAGUUGCUGUAUAUGCCGCCUCACAUCAUCUACUGUAUGUCAGCAGGGGCAAGUCUUCUUGACCUUUCUCUGAAAGGUCGGUCGUCAUGCAGCCGAAUGCGAUGUUCGACCCCUGUGGCCAAACCAACAUCCCAUUCAUGCAAUGAGAACACAUUCCGCCUCUCAGAUAACUUCUGCCUAAGUCGAAUCUUCCACUCUUUGGGAAUAGGAGAGUCCCCAAAAUUGAAAAGGUUUGGGUCAAGCGUUUCAGCUGUGAGCUUGGAGGGUCGGAUUGGGGUAACUGUAUCUACAGCAUACAUCUCAGCAAUAACAGUCUCUACUGGUAUUGAAGUUGUCUUUUUGGAUUCAUUGUGAAUGAGCACAGUGAAACUAUUACUGUCUAUAUCUGCAUCAGAAAGCACACCUGGCUGUACCAGCACUCCAGCAGGAAGUAACUGGUCAGAGGGUGAAUCAAUCAGCACAAGGUUUUUGGAUGGGGCACACUGUGUCUACUUUGCAGGUGGCAUAAUACUUUGCACCUGGAGCAAUAGUGAGCGGACAGGGUCCUUUCCACUUUACCAGUCCCAAGACAUCUGACUUUGUUCGCUGCUCUUUUGCUUUAACUGGAGCAUAUACAGACUGAAUUCUCAGGGAGUGAGCAACACUUUGGUCACCGUUUUCCUUCAUCAGCUCCCAUAAUCGUCGGAACAGAGAUGUGUUGGUUCCAACUAACACAGGAGUUUGCUGUUGGUUCUUUGGAUCGGGACAAAUCAAAGCUAGCACGUCUACACAUCCAGAUACACCAGUGAUCUCCUUGGUGAACUCCAUCUCCACAACAACGUACCCUUUAUACGGAUACUCUGUGUCAGCGAGUCCCCACAGUCCAAGGCGGGAGAGAGGUUUUAUGGGGACAUCUGACAAGUGUGUGUUAUACCAGCUUUCAAAAAUAAUAGACACAUUAGACCCACUGUCAAUGAGAGCUUCACAGACCACAUCAUUAACUUUGAUGGUGUGAAUAAAGGAUGGACCUACCAGACCCUCAGGUAAGUCAGCAUCAUUCUCUGAAACUUCCAUUUUGUUGGUUCUAGCCACACAUUGUUCUUCUUUUGUGCGCUUUGUUUCUCCUUCACUUGGGUCAGGCCCUCCUCGCACCAGGCGCAAAAGUUUUCUUAUGACUUUCUGGGGGUUCUCAGAUGCAGUGCAUCGGGUGGCAAUGUGACCUUUCUCCCCGCAUCUGUAACAAAAGAACUCAUCACUUUGUUUGGGAGACGACACUUUGGUAGGUGCCGACUUGUGACUUGGAGCAACUUUGUGCCGGUGGGGUGGCAUUGAAUGAGUUCUUGGGGGGUCUGAUGUGUACUUCACAGUCAUUACACUCAUUUUGUCUUCCAGUGCUUUCACUUGUCUUCUUAGUGCGUGUAGUUCACUCGGCUGUUCAAACUUUUGUUUUUGCUUUUCAGAAGAAGUAUCAGAUUGUGGCUUGAGUCGACAGCCGUUUCUUUCAUCUAACUGUACUCUCAACAAUUGAAUUUGAGCUUGCAGUUCACUUCGCGAGGGCGAUUCAAUUUCUUUCUCUUUUUCGGCUUGGACAGUGCGAACACGUUGAUGACGCACGGGUGCUACUUGGCUCUGUUUGGCUGAAUAAUGCCCUUCCUCUUCAAUUACUUCUUGUAGCAAUUUCAGGAAUGUAGGGGGGUUACUUUUCCGCUCCCUAAUUUUCAACUGAAGCAACAUCAACUCAGAGGUGGAUCCUCUGAUGAGCUGUUCCAAUCGAGCACUGUUUGCAGCGCUAACAGGUAAUCCUCCUGCUUGUACGACUUUGACAAGAGAUUUCUCUAAUCUUCUAAGAAACUCGGAUAGGCGUUCACCAGGCUGUUGGUGAAUGGCUCUGAAUGACAAGUAGAGGUCUUCUCCAGAUUCUACAGUGCCAAAAAUGCUCUCUAUAGCAUCAAUGAAAUCGUGAGGACUAGCAUCUGGUUGAGUCAGGCGUACAGCCUGAACGAUCUCAAAGGCAGGCCCUUUAAGACUCUCAAAUAUGAGUCGUCACUUCUCUUUGUCUGAGCACUCGCCUUCCUCUACUAAGAGGGUCGCUUGCUCCAACCAGUUGUCUAAAGUUUCCUCUCCAGCAGGGGUAGGUGUGACCCUUGAAAAUGUCCUUAGACGUCUAUAUGGGUAAUUGUCAGGCUCUUUGGUUUUCUUGCCCAUUAUAUCUCCAACUGCACGAAGGAUGGCUUCAGGACCACUGUUACUUUCUCCUGUGGAGGGGCACAAGCUUUGGAUAUCCUCUAUGGCUCUCCCUUCACUGUGCAAAAAGGUAUUAUCUCAGGUGGGAUUCUAGACGGGUGUGUCUCUUCACGACAUUCACAUAACACCAUCAGUGAUUGUUGUUGAGGUACUCUAUACAACAGGAGAGCAUGUCUUACAUCUAUUGCCUCUCCUUUACACCAGUUGACCAGCUCAAGUUGUGAUGGACUGCUUAUUUUGUUUGCCAUUGCUGUAUUUAGUUUGGACUUAUGUGACACGUUACGUUUGUUAAUGCUCUAAAGUUGUGGGGUCAAAUUACUUUUGCCUGUUAUUAUUUACAUUGAGCAAAAUAAUCCCAGCGGUGCCUCCAUUUUAUGUAACCCAGGUCUCAUGUAGUUAAUUUAUAAAUAAUGGAGUGGUUAAUACAAUAAGACUGGGCCUGAGUUCGUGUGUUUUGUACACAAUAAUUUGGUGUGUAUAUUUCUGUUUAAUCUGUAAUAAUGACCUCCACAACUGUAUUUUAAAUAUAACACAUGAACACAAAUUUAUUUACAAUAUUUACACCCAAAAUUGAAAAUGACUCUUUUGAUGAAAAUAAUAAAUUCAAAUAAC